CGACAUAUAUAUUUCUUCCAAUGAAGAAGAGGAACUAAUUCGUAAAUGGUUGCCUCGAAAAAAAGGGUUUUGAUGUGUAUCUAUUUUUCAGGGACGGUACAAUUGGAGAACCUCCGGAACAAGAAACAAUUGACGUCAUAUCAAAAAGUCGCUAUUUUAUUAUACUUAUUAGUGUCGAUACACAAGGUAAUCAACAAUGGAAC
RNAcentral lists this long non-coding RNA (203 nucleotides) under Mytilus galloprovincialis (Mediterranean mussel). The record is from RNAcentral. Lineage: Eukaryota; Metazoa; Mollusca; Bivalvia; Mytilida; Mytilidae.